RNAcentral lists this ribosomal RNA (253 nucleotides) under uncultured bacterium. RNAcentral describes it as "partial 16S ribosomal RNA". It matches the Rfam family "Bacterial small subunit ribosomal RNA", at positions 524 to 776 of the family's 1533-position model. The record is from RNAcentral.
UACAGAGGGUGCAAGCGUUAAUCGGAAUUACUGGGCGUAAAGUGCGCGUAGGUGGUUUGUUAAGUUGAAUGUGAAAGCCCCGGGCUCAACCUGGGAACUGCAUCCAAAACUGGCAAGCUAGAGUAUGGCAGAGGGUGGUGGAAUUUCCUGUGUAGCGGUGAAAUGCGUAGAUAUAGGAAGGAACACCAGUGGCGAAGGCGACCACCUGGACUGAUACUGACACUGAGGUGCGAAAGCGUGGGGAGCAAACAGG